Molecule: long non-coding RNA, 383 nt
Filed under: Hordeum vulgare
Lineage: Eukaryota; Viridiplantae; Streptophyta; Magnoliopsida; Poales; Poaceae
Description: long non-coding RNA (HVUL_LNC004835)
Source: RNAcentral
UACACUUCAAUAGUACUCCCAAGUAGAGUAGAUCGAUAGCUGUAAUGGUAGAACACUGCUACUACUAGUACUCUUCAACAGUGAAACGGCUCUGCGCAUUAAUACGAGGAUUCUUUUUUGUGAUUGUAACCAUCAGAUUUUGGCAGUAAAAAGGAGAUAAUGGUCGUCCAUCAUACUAGUGUUUCUGGAGCCGUCUUGGAACUAUACAUUCAUAAGUAACUGUAGUUGGUUGCUUAUCAGUAAACUUAAAAGCAUGAAAUCACUUGUCCCUGUAAAAAGGAAGGCAUUCUCUUUAGACUACUUACAAUAAAGAAAAAUAUAGAGUAACAACAUGAAUAUAUUAUCAGUCUAGGUUACGACGGUGACGGAGCGGCUACGUGAAC